AUUGAACGCUAGCGGCAUGCUUAACACAUGCAAGUCGAACGGCAGCGCGGGGAGCUUGCUCCCUGGCGGCGAGUGGCGGACGGGUGAGUAACGCGUAGGAAUCUACUUUUAAGUGGGGGAUAACUCGGGGAAACUCGAGCUAAUACCGCAUAAUCUCUACGGAGUAAAGCGGGGGACCUUCGGGCCUCGUGCUUAAAAAUGAGCCUGCGUCGGAUUAGCUUGUUGGUGGGGUAAAGGCCUACCAAGGCAACGAUCCGUAGCUGGUCUGAGAGGAUGAUCAGCCACACUGGGACUGAGACACGGCCCAGACUCCUACGGGAGGCAGCAGUGGGGAAUAUUGGACAAUGGGGGCAACCCUGAUCCAGCAAUGCCGCGUGUGUGAAGAAGGCCUUCGGGUUGUAAAGCACUUUCAGUAGGGAAGAAAGGCUCAAGGUUAAUACCCUUGAGAGUUGACGUUACCUACAGAAGAAGCACUGGCUAACUCUGUG
RNAcentral lists this ribosomal RNA (488 nucleotides) under uncultured bacterium. Its description in RNAcentral is "bacterial SSU rRNA". It matches the Rfam family "Bacterial small subunit ribosomal RNA", at positions 30 to 507 of the family's 1533-position model. The record is from RNAcentral.